GUCCACGCCGUAAACGUUGGGCGCUAGGUGUGGGGCUCUUUCCACGAGUUCCGUGCCGCAGCUAACGCAUUAAGCGCCCCGCCUGGGGAGUACGGCCGCAAGGCUAAAACUCAAAGGAAUUGACGGGGGCCCGCACAAGCGGCGGAGCAUGCGGAUUAAUUCGAUGCAACGCGAAGAACCUUACCAAGGCUUGACAUGGGGCGAAAACUGGCAGAGAUGUCAGGUCCGCAAGGGCGCCUCACAGGUGGUGCAUGGUUGUCGU
RNAcentral lists this ribosomal RNA (262 nucleotides) under uncultured bacterium. RNAcentral describes it as "partial 16S ribosomal RNA". It matches the Rfam family "Bacterial small subunit ribosomal RNA", at positions 793 to 1055 of the family's 1533-position model. The record is from RNAcentral.